GCUCCCAUGGCACAGUCGGAUAGCGCACUCCCUUCCUAAGGGAUAGGUCAUAGGUUCGAAUCCUAUUGGGAGCG
RNAcentral lists this transfer RNA (74 nucleotides) under Candidatus Photodesmus blepharonis. RNAcentral's name for it is "Candidatus Photodesmus blepharus tRNA". It matches the Rfam family "tRNA". Rfam says of the family: Transfer RNA (tRNA) molecules are approximately 80 nucleotides in length. Their secondary structure includes four short double-helical elements and three loops (D, anti-codon, and T loops). Further hydrogen bonds mediate the characteristic L-shaped molecular structure. tRNAs have two regions of fundamental functional importance: the anti-codon, which is responsible for specific mRNA codon recognition, and the 3' end, to which the tRNAs corresponding amino acid is attached (by aminoacyl-tRNA synthetases). tRNAs cope with the degeneracy of the genetic code in two manners: having more than one tRNA (with a specific anti-codon) for a particular amino acid; and 'wobble' base-pairing, i.e. permitting non-standard base-pairing at the 3rd anti-codon position. Lineage: Bacteria; Pseudomonadati; Pseudomonadota; Gammaproteobacteria; Vibrionales; Vibrionaceae. The record is from Rfam by way of RNAcentral.